GUGGGGAAUAUUGGACAAUGGGCGAAAGCCUGAUCCAGCAAUGCCGCGUGAGUGAUGAAGGCCUUAGGGUUGUAAAGCUCUUUUACCCGGGAAGAUAAUGACUGUACCGGGAGAAUAAGCCCCGGCUAACUCCGUGCCAGCAGCCGCGGUAAUACGGAGGGGGCUAGCGUUGUUCGGAAUUACUGGGCGUAAAGCGCACGCAGGCGGGUUUGUAAGUUAGAGGUGAAAGCCUGGGGCUCAACCCCAGAAUUGCCUUUAAGACUGCAUCACUGGAACGUCGGGGAGGUGAGUGGAAUUCCUAGUGUAGAGGUGAAAUUCGUAGAUAGUCGGAAGAACACCAGUGGCGAAGGCGGCUCACUAGACGACUGUUGACGCUGAGGUGCGAAGGCGUGGGGAGCAAACAGGAUUAGAAACCCUAGUAGUCC
This 425-nucleotide ribosomal RNA is filed under the name uncultured bacterium. RNAcentral describes it as "partial 16S ribosomal RNA". It matches the Rfam family "Bacterial small subunit ribosomal RNA", at positions 354 to 796 of the family's 1533-position model. The record is from RNAcentral.